This 280-nucleotide ribosomal RNA is filed under the name uncultured bacterium. Its description in RNAcentral is "partial 16S ribosomal RNA". It matches the Rfam family "Bacterial small subunit ribosomal RNA", at positions 32 to 301 of the family's 1533-position model. The record is from RNAcentral.
AAUCAACGCUGGCGGCGUGCCUCAGACAUGCAAGUCGAACGCGAAAGUUUCCUUCGGGAAGCGAGUAGAGUGGCGCACGGGUGAGUAACACGUAGGUAAUCUACCCCCGAGUGGGGAAGUAACUCAGGGAAACGUUGAGCUAAUACCGCAUAAUGCAGCGGCACCACAUGGUGACAGUUGUUAAAGCAUUUAUGCGCUUGGGGAGGAGCCUGCGGCAGAUUAGCUAGUUGGUAAGGUAAUGGCUUACCAAGGCUACGAUCUGUAACCGGCCUGAGAGGGC